Roseovarius nubinhibens ISM is the source of this 203-nucleotide regulatory RNA element. Lineage: Bacteria; Pseudomonadati; Pseudomonadota; Alphaproteobacteria; Rhodobacterales; Roseobacteraceae. The record is from Rfam.
CUAGGCUAAAGCUCUCAGGGUGCCGUCCUCGCAAGGGGCCGGAGAAUUGGGAAGCCGGUGCAAGUCCGGCGCUGCCCCCGCAACGGUAAGGAGGGGUGGUUGGGCGAUAUGCCACUGGGCCGCGAGGCCUGGGAAGGUAGCCCGAUCACAGGCCAGAUGGCCGUCCACCAAGCCCGGAAACCAGCCAUGAGACAACGUCAGAA